UAAAAGGGUCAGUUGGCUAAAUAUGCCACUCUCAUCUGUGAUUGGUGAGUGCUGUAUGGCAAUCAAGACAUAUGGCUGACAUAAUUUUUGUGGGAUUAUAGGGUUGGCUCGUUUAGCCGACCCUCCU
Small nuclear RNA from Lathyrus oleraceus (garden pea), 127 nucleotides. RefSeq annotates it as U11 spliceosomal RNA. The transcript has a single exon. NCBI's taxonomy places the organism in Eukaryota, Viridiplantae, Streptophyta, Magnoliopsida, Fabales, Fabaceae. The record is from RefSeq and is a predicted model, not a curated record.